This 432-nucleotide ribosomal RNA is filed under the name Amphistegina lobifera. RNAcentral's name for it is "SSU rRNA". It matches the Rfam family "Eukaryotic small subunit ribosomal RNA", at positions 1176 to 1603 of the family's 1831-position model. Lineage: Eukaryota; Foraminifera; Rotaliida; Amphisteginidae. The record is from RNAcentral.
GUGGAGCAUGUGGCUUAAUUUGACUCAACGCGGGGAAUCUUACUAGGUCCGGACCGAUUCUAUGAUCGUCGUACUGUGGGGUGCUACGUGAUUACUGGAUGAGUGGUGCAUGGCCGUUCUUAGUUCGUGGUGUUAAUUGUCUACUUAAUUGUCAUCAGUUUAAUACAUGUAUUGAACUAUGAACGAACGAGAUCGAGACCCGUGGUUGCGUGUGUUUGAAUUCGGUAUUACUACGGGGAUCGCGUAUUACUCCACGGUACGAUCGAAAGACUCGGCAAUAACAGGUCUGUGAUGCCCUCAGAUGUUCUAGGCUGCACACGUGCUACAGUGUGGUUCUGUUCAUAUGUGUAUGCGUAGACUUGAGAUCCCCCGCACCGAGUCAUAACUGGUCACACGGUUGGACUCACCGAUUGCAAUUAUUCUGUAUCUUAA